Molecule: long non-coding RNA, 913 nt
Filed under: Jatropha curcas
Lineage: Eukaryota; Viridiplantae; Streptophyta; Magnoliopsida; Malpighiales; Euphorbiaceae
Description: long non-coding RNA (JCUR_LNC002276)
Source: RNAcentral
ACAGUUCAGACGCAUGUUAAAACCUAUACUCAAAAUAAUGGGAACAAGUUAUGAUCCUGAGAGUGGAAUUGGCCUCACUGCACUUUGAAUUCGCCUAAACACAGUCUUUACUCUUUCCUUGGGACCUGCAUUUUCACUCUCAACAUCUCCGCUCUGUUUGUCCAGCUGUGCCACGUUCCCAUCAGCACUUACAAUCAACUUCCCAUUCUCUCCAGGUUUUACAUCUCCUAACCUUCUCUGCUUUCUUCACUUUUUUUUUUCCUUUCAGUUGACGGCCUCUGACUCAACUACAACCUUUGGCAUCUCCCGAUUGAUGUUCAAAACUAGAGCUACAACCGAGUCAGACACCAUAUCACUUAUGGGAUCUGCACUCCUUGAAGUGAAAUGUGUCUAUCAGACUCCUGCUUCACUGUCACUCGCUGAUGCAGUUGCAGCGUUGGAACUCCAGACUCCUCGUCUGUCCCAGAUUCCACACUCUCUUAUAUUUGCCCGAGUCGAUGCUUUAUCACACCAAAGGCACAAGAGAAUGGAAUGGUAAUCCUCUGCGUAAUAUUUGUUGUCAAUGGCUGUGAGAAUACAUGAAGCAGAACCCGGAGCUCACAUGAAAUUAGGAAGCAAGGAGAGAAUUAGGGAUUUCAGAGAGAAGGGGAAGAUGAAAUCAAAACGGUGAGUUUUUAUCAUUUUCAGGGGGUUUGGGUUAAGGUAACCAAGCUGGUUUGGUGGAAUCUAUUUUAAUAGUUUUUUAUUCAAAACCUAGGUGAAUUUGAUUUUAGAGUAAUAAUAUUAUAAUGUUUUUAAUCUAAGGGGACGAAAGUCAGAUUAGAAUGUUUUUUUGCAACAACACGCAUAUCUUGAAGUUUUUUUUAUAAGUCAAGCCGAUAUUGAAAGUUAAACAUCACAUAAGUUAAUUUUU